AACGAACGCUGGCGGCGUGCUUAACACAUGCAAGUCGAACGCGAAAGGGACUUCGGUUCUUAGUAGAGUGGCGCACGGGUGAGUAACGCGUAGAUAACCUGUCUUCAUAUCCGGAAUAACACGCCGAAAGGGGUACUAAUACCGGAUAUUCUUGCAUUUCACAGGUAAGGCAAGGAAAGGUGGCCUCUGAUUCAAGCUACUGUAUGAAGAGGGGUCUGCGUACCAUUAGCUAGUAGGUGGGGUAAUGGCCUACCUAGGCGACGAUGGUUAGCGGGUCUGAGAGGAUGAUCCGCCACACUGGCACUGGAAUACGGGCCAGACUCCUACGGGAGGCGGCAGUGAGGAAUAUUGCGCAAUGGGGGCAACCCAGACGCAGCGACGCCGACGUUGAGUGAAGAAGGUCUUCGGAUCGUAAAGCUCUGUCAAGAGGGAAGAAGUGCAAGGCAGCGAAUAACUGUUUUGUUUGACGGUACCUCUAUAGGAAGCACCGGCUAACUCCGUGCCAGCAGCCGCGGUAAUACGGAGGGUGCGAGCGUUGUUCGGAAUCACUGGGCGUAAAGGGCGCGCAGGCGGGUUGUCAAGUCAGAUGUGAAAUCCCACGGCUUAACUGUGGACGUGCAUAUGAAACUGGCAGUCUUGAGUACCAGAGGGGAAUGUGGAAUUCCCGGUGUAGAGGUGAAAUUCGUAGAUAUCGGGAGGAAUACCGGUGGCGAAGGCGACAUUCUGGCUGGAUACUGACGCUGAGGCGCGAAAGCGUGGGGAGCAAACAGGAUUAGAUACCCUGGUAGUCCACGCCGUAAACGAUGUGAACUAGAUGCAGGGGGUGUUGAUCCCCUCUGUGUCGCAGCUAACGCAUUAAGUUCACCGCCUGGGGAGUACGGUCGCAAGAUUAAAACUCAAAGGAAUUGACGGGGGCCCGCACAAGCGGUGGAGUAUGUGGUUGAAUUCGAUGAACGCGAAGAACCUUACCUGGUCUUGACAUCCCGGAGACGCCCAUGAAAGUGGG
This 1006-nucleotide ribosomal RNA is filed under the name Desulfobulbus sp. oral taxon 041. RNAcentral describes it as "bacterial SSU rRNA". It matches the Rfam family "Bacterial small subunit ribosomal RNA", at positions 28 to 1011 of the family's 1533-position model. Lineage: Bacteria; Pseudomonadati; Thermodesulfobacteriota; Desulfobulbia; Desulfobulbales; Desulfobulbaceae. The record is from RNAcentral.